This 1690-nucleotide long non-coding RNA is filed under the name Sus scrofa (pig). RNAcentral's name for it is "lncRNA (ENSSSCG00005029681.1)". The record is from RNAcentral. Lineage: Eukaryota; Metazoa; Chordata; Mammalia; Artiodactyla; Suidae.
GACCAAAUGCCUGCUGCCUCGGCUCUCAGCCAUCCCCAGCCGCUGCCGCUUUCUCCCUCGCUCCCUCCCUUCAUCUCCCUUUGUCUGGGGUCUUUGUCUGUGGUCUACCCGUGGUUCAGUCCUCCGCCUUCCCUCCCUUUCUCCCCGGCCUGGCUGCUCCCUCCCUCUCUGCGGGGGCCGGGAGGCUCGGCCUGGGGAGCGGGCUGGGUUGCCAUGGUCACGUCGUGGAAGCCAGCCGCAGCUGGCCCAGGCAGCUGCUCCGGGGCCCUCGAUGGGCGGACAAAGCCAGGCAGCCUUGGCGGCCCCAGAGCUGGAACCCCAAAGGCCUGAGACUGGGGUGACCCUAAGGCCAGGAGAACCCUAAGCUGGAGGUGAGAGGGAGGAAGUCGGAGCUGAAUGGGGAGGGCAGGAGUUGGGACUGGAGUUGGGCCCUCCCCUCACGGGGAGGGACCAGGUGGUCCAGGCUGGAGGUGUGGUGGGAGGAGAGGAGCGUGGAUGGGCUGCCGCCAAGGAGAGGAAAGGAAGGAUGGGGAGUAGAGAAGGCGCUGAGGUGUGGCAGAGGAGGUGCAGGCUAGGAUGUUCCCAAGGGGAGCUCUGGGGCCUCUGUGCCCUGCCAUCCAGAAGCAGGAGGCCAUUGGCUUGAAGAGGAGGGAAGCCCAGAAUGGGAGGACUUGGACGGUGGGAAAGGUAGAGGGUCCUUUGGGGGCUCAGGAGGACGGGGAGGCUUCUGGAGUUGUGAGGGAUUCAGGAGAUGUGGGAUGGGCUCUGGGGGCCAUGGAUGGGUGGGUUGAUGGAUACACUCCAUCUUUGGUGCUACUCUGGGGGACUCUGGACGGCUGGUAUUUCCCUCUCUGGCCCCUGAGAGUCUCGGCUCCGAGCCUCACAUUCCAGCCGGCUCCAGCCCCUUUCUGCUGUCACUUGAUUCCGUUGGGCCCCAGCCCUGCAUCCCUCACACUCCUCCAGCUCUAGGCUUGGAAGAGGUGGGCAUCACCGACUAGGAAUUUCUCCUGGGGGAGAAGAGGGAGCAAAGGUUUCAGGAUUCUAUGGUUUCCUCUAUUCUCCACAGUGGACCCCUCUGUCUGGCACCGCCAUGCCACCUGGACGGGGUCAGCGUGGGCCCGGGGUGUGGUAUGUCCCACUGGGGUGUGAGGGGCUGCGGCUACUCUCCCCUGAGGGGUCAGGCUGCAGCUCAGCCGGGCCGCCUGCCUGGAGCUCCCCCGGAGGACAGCCCCUAGAAGGAGGGGCGGAGAGUCCGCCCAGGUGAGGUUACUUGGGAAACCUUGGCCCCACCCCCAUCCUGGCUCCGCCCCGGGCCCUGCCUCUUCGGGCCCAGAUUUCCCAGCGAUUGUCUCCGGUGGGGUAGGUGCAGCGGGGAACCCUGGGGGUUUGGUAGGAGGGAACGAUGGGAAGAGGCAAUUCUCAGAAUGGCCCCGGGGCUGUUAGUGAGCCCCUUAGCAGUUAUGGGGCCCUAGGGUUUGUGUAUUGACCCGCGGGUUGGAGUUCGUGCCCAUACGUGCCUUGGCCUCUCCCAAGGGCCAGCCUCUUCCUGGUAGUGCUUUUGUGUACUAGUCUGGGACUUCGUGUUUUUUCUUGGGACUGUUGUCUGGGACUGCACGUAGGGUGAGUUUUUAUCUAUCUGCUGUGAGGUGCAAGGGGGCAGAGAUCUGCAGUGGGGUGAGACCUUACCCUG